UACGUAGGGGGCAAGCGUUGUCCGGAAUUAUUGGGCGUAAAGCGCGUGUAGGCGGCUCGGUAAGUCUGCUGUGAAAGUCCAAGGCUCAACCUUGGAAUGCCGGUGGAUACUGUCGAGCUCGAGUCCGGAAGAGGCGAGUGGAAUUCCUGGUGUAGCGGUGAAAUGCGCAGAUAUCAGGAGGAACACCGGUGGCGAAGGCGGGUCUCUGGGCCGUAACUGACGCUGAGGAGCGAAAGCGUGGGGAGCGAACAGG
This 253-nucleotide ribosomal RNA is filed under the name uncultured bacterium. Its description in RNAcentral is "partial 16S ribosomal RNA". It matches the Rfam family "Bacterial small subunit ribosomal RNA", at positions 524 to 776 of the family's 1533-position model. The record is from RNAcentral.